Molecule: ribosomal RNA, 279 nt
Filed under: Triticum aestivum (bread wheat)
Lineage: Eukaryota; Viridiplantae; Streptophyta; Magnoliopsida; Poales; Poaceae
Description: partial small subunit ribosomal RNA
Source: RNAcentral
AUGGUGGGGGUGCUCCCGGAUUCCAGGUUCCCACAUGUCGACGGCAAGGCAACGAGGAACUCGCAAAGAACAACUAGGACACAGUGCAACCACGAUCAUCUCCUACAACACAUGCAUUCGUUCACGGGCGUCGUCUCGGUGUGGCUUCGUGAAAACAACAUCACCAGAUGGAUGCAAGGACAUGGCAGUGACGGGUUAGAGCGCUUGACAGGAUCCGAAGCCAACAGGUGCUCGAGGACAGGGGCGCUUGGGGCAGCGGCGAGAGCUUGCAGGAUGUAG